ACCCACUGAGCCACCUAGCUGCCCCCCCCCCCACUAUUUUGUCCAUUUUGCUGAGGACACUGAGGCCCACAGAAGGAUGAGACUCGUUCGUUUAGAGGAGGCUGGGACCUCAGAGGAAGCCAAAGGGGAUGAAGUGAUUUGCUCAAGAGUGGGUUAGGCUAGGCCUUGGGAGUUGUUUCACAUGGUAGGAUAAUCGCGGUUGUGGCUUUUGGUUGGGACAACGUUGCGCUAACUCUGGGGUUUUCUUAGCCGGCGCUGGAGUGGCUUGUCAAUUCCUCCGCCAGCCCAUUUUAUAGAUGGGGAAACCGAGGCAAAGCGAAUUAAGUAGUUUGUCCAGGGCUUCAAAUUGGCUGCCCGGUCCCCGCAGUCCUAAAUAAAAGGGCGACUGAAGGCUCGCUGGCCCGAGGCUCGGGGAGAACGAGGCAGAAUUUCCCUUUAUGGGCAGCAGCCAAUCCACAAGGAUGAACAAUGAACAAAAGUUCCCUUUUCUGCCAGCCAAUGGCAAGCGCUCGGGGGGAAGUCUUCUCCCGGAGGCGGGCUCGCCAGCUCUCGGGGGGGGGGGGGGGGGGGGGAGGGGGAGGGGACCGCGGGGUCGGGAUUGCUAGUCUUUUUUUCAGGUGUGAUCUCGGUAAUGAAUGGGGCGGGGGAGGGGGGCAGGGGGGCGGGGGAGGGGGGGAGGGGGUCGGAGCGGUCGUCUCCACCGCCAGCCUAGGUUAAACAGCAACUACCAAACCUGUGGCGUCGGCGUUAGGCUGGCGAGAACCACAGGCGGACGGGUCCGUUCCUCGCUGGGCGGGCUGGGCCUGAGCUGUGGUUCUGGGGGCAGAAUUCUUUACCUACAGCGCCCGCCCGCCCCCACGGUCCCGCCCCAGAAGGGCCGCCAGACCUCUCCCAGCUGGACACUGGGGGCCCGCCGAACCUGUCCCCGCAGCACGCCUGGCUGGGCUCCUCCCCGCCGCGGUGCCCAGGCGCCCGGAGCGCACUCGGCCCCCCUCGUGGAGAGCCCCAGGGAGCGGGGUUCCCACCCGCCAGGGAAGGCGGACGGGCGCUCUCCGGGGAGCUCGGAGAGGUGGAGCCAGGCGCUCUGGGACCAGCUUCUUACCUGCGGCCGGCCGGGCCGACGGGGCACCCAGAGAUUGGCCUUUGGGCUGGCCGCCUGGCUUGUGAUUGGCCCUCCGGGGAGGGGGUGGGCCGGCCAGCUCGCUCCUGGGGCCCGGACUCUAGGGGCUCUAGGUAACCUGGCCGCGGUGGUUCAUCCAGGCUCCCCUCCCAGCAAGCAUGGCGAGCGGGCUGGUUUUAAAUCACGAACUCUCAAAACUCUUCAACCAACUGUGGGAUGCUGA
This 1343-nucleotide long non-coding RNA is filed under the name Monodelphis domestica (gray short-tailed opossum). RNAcentral describes it as "lncRNA (ENSMODG00000043874.1)". Lineage: Eukaryota; Metazoa; Chordata; Mammalia; Didelphimorphia; Didelphidae. The record is from RNAcentral.